AUGAACGCUGGCGGCGUGCCUAAUCCAUGCAAGUCGAGCGAACGGACGAGAAGCUUGCUUCUCUGAUGUUAGCGGCGGACGGGUGAGUAACACGUGGAUAACCUACCUAUAAGACUGGGAUAACUUCGGGAAACCGUAGCUAAUACCGGAUAAUAUUUUGAACCGCAUGGUUCAAAAGUGAAAGACGGUCUUGCUGUCACUUAUAGAUGGAUCCGCGCUGCAUUAGCUAGUUGGUAAGGUAACGGCUUACCAAGGCAACGAUGCAUAGCCGACCUGAGAGGGUGAUCGGACACACUGGAACUGAGACACGGUCCAGACUCCUACGGGAGGCAGCAGUAGGGAAUCUUCCGCAAUGGGCGAAAGCCUGACGGAGCAACGCCGCGUGAGUGAUGAAGGUCUUCGGAUCGUAAAACUCUGUUAUUAGGGAAGAACAUAUGUGUAAGUAACUGUGCACAUCUUGACGGUACCUAAUCAGAAAGCCACGGCUAACUACGUG
RNAcentral lists this ribosomal RNA (496 nucleotides) under uncultured bacterium. Its description in RNAcentral is "partial 16S ribosomal RNA". It matches the Rfam family "Bacterial small subunit ribosomal RNA", at positions 29 to 507 of the family's 1533-position model. The record is from RNAcentral.